CGCUGUCACCUCUCAAAACCACCUCACUUGGUUGUAGGAGGUCAUUGAAGAUUGCCUGGAGGAAGCCAUGUUCAAUGGGCACAUUUGUAGAAUGAUGUGAGCCAGAGUAUGGGGUACUGAAGCAGAAAAGGAUGCCCUUCAAUUUGAUAGAAAAGCACUACAUGAAUCCCUGUAAGACUCCACAAAUUAAACUAGGAGCUGUGUCAACCUGCUCUCUGUUUUACAUCCAUGUGGGAGGGUCUACGAGCACUCAUGUGGACAGUGUCUCUGUGCAUCUGUUUAAGAAAUUUUUGCCUACACUGAAGUCACAAGAAUGCUCUCCAAUGUGUUCUUUAAAAAGUCUUAUAGCUUUACUUUUAACAUUUAGACCCGUGAUAAGUUUGGAAUUAUUUUGUGUUUACAGUGUUAGAUAGGGUUAUCUAACUAACACAAUCAUUUUUUGAAAAUAUUUCUGUACAUGACUUU
RNAcentral lists this long non-coding RNA (465 nucleotides) under Homo sapiens (human). RNAcentral's name for it is "HSALNT0315887". Lineage: Eukaryota; Metazoa; Chordata; Mammalia; Primates; Hominidae. The record is from RNAcentral.